RNAcentral lists this ribosomal RNA (501 nucleotides) under uncultured bacterium. Its description in RNAcentral is "partial 16S ribosomal RNA". It matches the Rfam family "Bacterial small subunit ribosomal RNA", at positions 30 to 523 of the family's 1533-position model. The record is from RNAcentral.
AUUGAACGCUGGCGGCAGGCUUAACACUUGCAAGUCGAGCGGAGAUGAGGUGCUUGCACCUUAUCUUAGCGGCGGACGGGUGAGUAAUGCUUAGGAAUCUGCCUAUUAGUGGGGGACAACAUUCCGAAAGGAAUGCUAAUACCGCAUACGCCCUACGAGGGAAAGCAGGGGAUCUUCGGACCUUGCGCUAAUAGAUGAGCCUAAGUCGGAUUAGCUAGUUGGUGGGGUAAAGGCCUACCAAGGCGACGAUCUGUAGCGGGUCUGAGAGGAUGAUCCGCCACACUGGGACUGAGACACGGCCCAGACUCCUACGGGAGGCAGCAGUGGGGAAUAUUGGACAAUGGGCGGAAGCCUGAUCCAGCCAUGCCGCGUGUGUGAAGAAGGCCUUUUGGUUGUAAAGCACUUUAAGCGAGGAGGAGGCUACCUGGAUUAAUACUCUAGGAUAGUGGACGUUACUCGCAGAAUAAGCACCGGCUAACUCUGUGCCAGCAGCCGCCGCAG